GGGAAUGUGGCUUAGUGGUAGAGCGCUUGCCUAGCAUGCACGAAGUCCUGGGUUCAAUUCCUCAGUACCA
Molecule: transfer RNA, 70 nt
Filed under: Dipodomys ordii (Ord's kangaroo rat)
Lineage: Eukaryota; Metazoa; Chordata; Mammalia; Rodentia; Heteromyidae
Rfam family: tRNA
About the family: Transfer RNA (tRNA) molecules are approximately 80 nucleotides in length. Their secondary structure includes four short double-helical elements and three loops (D, anti-codon, and T loops). Further hydrogen bonds mediate the characteristic L-shaped molecular structure. tRNAs have two regions of fundamental functional importance: the anti-codon, which is responsible for specific mRNA codon recognition, and the 3' end, to which the tRNAs corresponding amino acid is attached (by aminoacyl-tRNA synthetases). tRNAs cope with the degeneracy of the genetic code in two manners: having more than one tRNA (with a specific anti-codon) for a particular amino acid; and 'wobble' base-pairing, i.e. permitting non-standard base-pairing at the 3rd anti-codon position.
Source: Rfam by way of RNAcentral